This 498-nucleotide ribosomal RNA is filed under the name uncultured bacterium. Its description in RNAcentral is "partial 16S ribosomal RNA". It matches the Rfam family "Bacterial small subunit ribosomal RNA", at positions 28 to 507 of the family's 1533-position model. The record is from RNAcentral.
GACGAACGCUGGCGGCGUGCCUAAUACAUGCAAGUCGAGCGGACGAAUCGAAAGCUUGCUUUUGAUUCGUUAGCGGCGGACGGGUGAGUAACACGUGGGCAACCUGCCCUGUAGACGGGGAUAACACCGAGAAAUCGGCGCUAAUACCGGAUAACACGAAAUGUCGCAUGACGUUUCGUUGAAAGACGGCGCAAGCUGUCGCUACAGGAUGGGCCCGCGGCGCAUUAGCUAGUUGGUGAGGUAACGGCUCACCAAGGCGACGAUGCGUAGCCGACCUGAGAGGGUGAUCGGCCACACUGGGACUGAGACACGGCCCAGACUCCUACGGGAGGCAGCAGUAAGGAAUCUUCCGCAAUGGACGAAAGUCUGACGGAGCAACGCCGCGUGAGCGAAGAAGGCCUUCGGGUCGUAAAGCUCUGUUGUUAGGGAAGAACAAGUAACGCAGUAACUGGCGUUACCGUGACGGUACCUAACGAGAAAGCCACGGCUAACUACGUG